GUUUUCCCGUGCGGAAAGGUCUUCGGGUGGCUGCCGGUUGUUACGGCGGUUGCGGGUCGAACCGCUGUGUAAAGAUGGCACCUGGACUAAUUCAGAUGGCACUUGGACUAAAAUGGACGAGAAAACCUGUAGAGUCAAAGCCGUGCCAGCGCACUUUCGGUCGCUUUCGGUGCCGCCGCAACCACCCGGAAUUUUGCCAGUCCACCACUACUGGGACCUGGUUUGAGAACAUUCGAUUGGCGCCGGAGCAAGUACUGAUACUCACCUACUGCUUCGCAACAAAAAUGACCUUCCGGCAAGCAGUAAAAGAAGCCUCCCUGGACAGUACCAUGUCCGAAGCGACAGUCACAGACUGGUAUUCGUACUGCAGGGAAGUGUGUACUGACUCCCUUUCAGACGUGCACAGGGGAAAAAUCGGAGGCACAAACCACGUCGUAGAAAUCGACGAAUGCAAAAUAGGCCGACGCAAAUACCAACGUGGUCGUGUUGUGGAGGGGACCUGGAUCCUGGGCCUUAUCGAUGUGGACACAAAGGAGCUCCGACUUGCCGUUUGUCCUGACAACAAAAGGGACAAAAACACGCUCCUUGCCCUCAUCGAUGCCAAUGUGGAAAAGGGGACCACAAUAUACACUGACUGCUGGAAGGGCUACUGUGGACUAUCUGCCUCAGUCACGACGGAUCACAGUCUACAUGGGCCCUCUCGACACAUGGAAUACGUGUUCGCCAGACCCAACCUAACCUCAGUCACGACGGAUGCACAAUCUACAUGGGCCCUCUCGACACAUGGAAUACGUGUUCACCAGACCUAACCUAACCUCAGUCACGACGGAUCACAGUCUACAUGGGCCCUCUCGACACAUGAAAUACGUGUUCACCAGACCCAACCUAACCUCAGUCAUGACGGAUGCACAGUAUAUAUGGGCCCUCUUGACACAUGGAAUACGUAUUCGCCAGACCUAACCUAACCUCAGUCACGACGGAUGCACAGUCUACAUGGACCCUUUCGACACAUGGAAUACGUGUUCACCAGACCCAACCUAACCUCAGUCACGACGGAUGCACAGUCUACAUGGGCCCUCUCGACACAUGGAAUACGUGUUUACCAGACCUAACCUAACCUCAGUCACGACGGAUCACAGUCUACAUGGGCCCUCUCGAAACAUGAAAUACGUGUUCACCAGGCUCAACCUAACCUCAGUCACGAUGGAUGCACAGUCUACAUGGGCCCUCUCAACACAUGGGAUACGUGUUCACCAGACCCAGCCUAACCUCAGUCACAACGGAUGCACAGUCUACAUGGCCCUCUCCACACAUGGAAUACGUGUUCACCAGACCCAACCUAACCUCAGUCACGACGGAUGCACAGUCUAUACAUGGACCCUCUCGACACAUGGAAUACGUGUUCACCAGACCCAACCUAACCUCAGUCACGACGGAUGCACAGUCUAUACAUGGGCCCUCUCGACACAUGGAAUACGUGUUCACCAGACCAAACCAAACCUCAGUCACAACGGAUGCACAGUCUACAUGGGCUCUCUCCACACAUGGAAUACGGACUCAGCUGACCUGACCUAACCUCAGUCCCACCCAUUUCCUCUGAUUCAUUUGUGCCUCUGCUAAUAACUUUCAAUAUUAAAUUUCAAUACAUUUUAAUAUUAAAUGCUGCUAAUAACGUUCAAUAAUAAAUUUCAAUAUUAUAUUCAA
This is a long non-coding RNA of Ornithodoros turicata, 1704 nucleotides long. RefSeq lists it as uncharacterized. Lineage: Eukaryota; Metazoa; Arthropoda; Arachnida; Ixodida; Argasidae. The transcript has 2 exons. The record is from RefSeq and is a predicted model, not a curated record.